CAGGGAGACAACAAAAUGUUUAAUAUUAUUAUUUUGUCACCUUAGGUCGAUCGGUAUCUCACGUUCUUAAUUUAUUAAGGAUUUCAUUCCCUAAGUUUUUUCUAGGUCACACCCAUUAUUUUCCUGGGCCAUUAGCUCAGGUGGUUAGAGCGCACCCCUGAUAAGGGUGAGGUCCCUGGUUCAAGUCCAGGAUGGCCCAUAUCUCUAUGUUGGGGGUAUAGCUCAGUUGGUAGAGCGCCUGCUUUGCAAGCAGGAUGUCAGCGGUUCGAGUCCGCUUACCUCCACUGAUCACCACCUCUUCCAUAACUGGUAGAAAGGAAAUUUUUUGAGUUGUGAUCAAAUUCUGAAAGAAUCUAGCUUCCUAAUGAAAUCAUUAAGAUGCUGGACUCAUUGAAUUAAUUUCAUUGUUUUCAGAGAACCUUGACAACUGCAUAGAUUAUUUUUAAAGACAAUAAGCAUCUUUAAUGAUGCAGAUUUAUUAUUUGUGCAAAUGCAUUAAUAACAAUUCUAUUAAGCUGAUGCUUCAAUAUUUGAAGUUAUU
RNAcentral lists this transfer RNA (541 nucleotides) under uncultured cyanobacterium. RNAcentral's name for it is "partial 16S-23S ribosomal RNA intergenic spacer". The stretch from base 212 to 284 matches the Rfam family "tRNA". The record is from RNAcentral. Lineage: Bacteria; Bacillati; Cyanobacteriota.